UGGCGGCAUGCUUUACACAUGCAAGUCGGAACGGCAGCACGGGUGCUUGCACUGGUGGCGAGUGGCGGACGGGUGAGUAAUGCAUCGGAACGUGUCCUAAAGUGGGGGAUAACGCAUCGAAAGAUGUGCUAAUACCGCAUAUUCUCUGAGGAGAAAAGUAGGGGAUCGAAAGACCUUAUGCUUUUGGAGCGGCCGAUGUCUGAUUAGCUAGUUGGUAGGGUAAUGGCCUACCAAGGCGACGAUCAGUAGUUGGUCUGAGAGGACGACCAGCCACACUGGGACUGAGACACGGCCCAGACUCCUACGGGAGGCAGCAGUGGGGAAUUUUUGGACAAUGGGCGCAAGCCUGAUCCAGCAAUGCCGCGUGAGUGAAGAAGGCCUUCGGGUUGUAAAGCUCUUUCAGUUGAGAAGAAAAAGUCGUGACUAAUAAUCAUGAUUCAUGACGGUAUCAACAGAAGAAGCACCGGCUAACUACGUG
This 478-nucleotide ribosomal RNA is filed under the name uncultured bacterium. Its description in RNAcentral is "bacterial SSU rRNA". It matches the Rfam family "Bacterial small subunit ribosomal RNA", at positions 37 to 507 of the family's 1533-position model. The record is from RNAcentral.